Molecule: long non-coding RNA, 544 nt
Filed under: Pan troglodytes (chimpanzee)
Lineage: Eukaryota; Metazoa; Chordata; Mammalia; Primates; Hominidae
Description: lincRNA
Source: RNAcentral
CACUCCUGCCUCCUAGGUCUGACGGGGACUCCGGCUCGGAGCUGGGCCCCCGAGGCCGCCAGGGAGGUGACUGCGGGCGACGCCGGGAUUUUGGUUUGGGUAACUGGGUAGAUGGGGGCGCCAUUAUCGCGCUUCUCUUGCAGGGGGCCGGUGAAGGUUAUACGAGAGGCUCCAUCUGUCCUUAUUGAAAGUGCUCUUAACGCAGGGACCAGCCUUCUUGCUGACGCCUGGGCCACCGAGCACAGGGACAGGACGGGGUUGCUGGAGGUGCAAGCUGGGAGAAAGCAGAGAACUGACUCCAUGCAGAGUUGGGAUUAAGAGCCCCUGGACAAGGGGCCAAGGCAGUGAAGGACGUCCAUCACUCAUCUGCCACUAUCCUCCUCACAUUUAAUCCUCACAACACCCCUGUGAGGUUUAUCCGCUUCACCUGUUGCUGGGGAACACUGCUCUCCGGGGGACUUGGGGGACGACACUGUAAACAUGACUUCCUGGCCUGAUGGUGGCAGGGCUGUGUGUGCGAGUCACUGUCCAGGGACAGCACUGA